AUUUGCAUUUUUACAAUUUGUAUUUUAGCUGGUAACAUGCUUCGUUUGAUUAUUGACAAAAAGUAGUGUAUAAAGCAAGCAUUCACCUUGUGAUAUAAUUUUUAUGUCAAUACGAUGGCACAUUUGUCCAUUUAGUAAGAACUUCAGAGUUCAUUUUUGCAAUUUGUAAAGGAUACAAAAGGGAACCGGUGAUAACAGAACAUUCACAACCUCUAGAAACUGAGGACCAGGAAGAGACUCUGUGCAAACCUUCAGUAAUGGCUUCCUCAAGCAGUGUACUGAGUGAAAACUUGUCUGGAGCUGUCCACUGAUCCCAUGAUGACCCCAUGUGGACAUAACUUCUGUAAGGCCUGCCUGCUGAAGGAAUGCUGGGAAAGCAGUCAUGAUAACACGUGUGCAUUUCACCAAGAGAGUGGAUCUUAGAGAUACUGAGCAGCUGUUGAGCAACUGGAGCCUCAUGAGAAAGUCGUAAACAUAAAGGAAGUCAUGAUGAUUGACCUUGUGGAGGAUAUCAAUCCUAAAAUGAUGCAGAAACAUAACAGAGCUCUGGAGAUGUUCUGUGGAGAUGAUCAGAUAUCUGUGUGUCAGUCUUGCACUGAGGGAGACCACAAGACCCACAAUACUGUUCUUGUAGAAGACAAGAGUAAAGAGAAGACGGUAACAAAGAAUGAUCAUUUAUUUAUAACAACAACAAAAGAUGACACUUUCUGAGCACUGGGUGAAGACCAGGAUGCAAUAUUUCAUUUCUGCUUCAUCCUCUUGGAUCUACAGGAUGUGCCCUUUGCUGACAAAUUUAGUAACCUUUCUUUUUAACCAAUAAUUUCAUUAAUGUAUUUAGAAAACUUAAAAUUAUAUUAUCACAGAAUUUAGUCCACAUUGUUAUUUGGG
RNAcentral lists this long non-coding RNA (888 nucleotides) under Sinocyclocheilus anshuiensis. RNAcentral's name for it is "lncRNA (ENSSANG00000026905.1)". The record is from RNAcentral. Lineage: Eukaryota; Metazoa; Chordata; Actinopteri; Cypriniformes; Cyprinidae.